Long non-coding RNA from Helicoverpa armigera (cotton bollworm), 1194 nucleotides. RefSeq lists it as uncharacterized. NCBI's taxonomy places the organism in Eukaryota, Metazoa, Arthropoda, Insecta, Lepidoptera, Noctuidae. The transcript is spliced from 2 exons. The record is from RefSeq and is a predicted model, not a curated record.
AAUAACCUAGUCCGUUGUUUUCUGUUGUUUUAUCAUAUUUAAGUAUAAAAAAAUUAAAAAUGUCUUUAGUACGUGAUAUUUUAUGGGAAUCUAGUUCUUCUGACGACGAAAAUUAUAAUGAUUUACCUAAUUCUCGAAAGAAAAAAGUGUAUCAACCACGUGUUAAUCGAUUCCUAAAAUGGAAUGAGCAGGAGUUCUUGGAUAGAUUUCGGAUUUCCAAAGGUUUAGCACGAGCCCUGGCUUCUCAUUUAGCACCAUUGCUCCAAACCAGAACCAUGAAAAACUUUGCAGUUACUCCAGAGCAGCAAAUAAUAAUGGCAUUGGAAUUUUACGCAUGUGGUUCUUUUCAACGCUGCAUUGGGGAUGCUGCAGGUGUUCACAAAUCUACUGUUUGUCGAAUAAUUCAUCGAGUGAGCAGAGCUAUAGCCGGACUAAGAACAGACUGGAUUGCAAUGCCUAAAAAUAUUGAGGAAAUGGAAACUGAGGCCAAAAAAUUUUAUGAAAUAUGUGCAUUUCCUAAAGUAAUAGGAACUAUAGACUGCACACAUAUACCAAUCAAAUCGCCAGGUGGUGCAGAUGCAGAAACAUAUAGAAAUAGAAAACAGGUAUUUUCUCUUAAUGUGCAAGUAAUCACAAAUGCUGAGAUGUACAUUACAAAUAUAGUUGCUAGAUGGCCUGGAAGCUGUCACGACAGCCAUAUUUUCAACAGCAGUGUCAUUAAGGGACGCCUAGAAGAUGGAGAAUUUGAUGGUUUUUGGUUACUAGGAGACAAAGGUUAUGCCAAUAAACCAUAUUUGCUAACACCUCUACGUAAUCCUGUUACAGAAGCUGAAAAACUGUACAAUGAAAGUCAUAUUCGUACUAGAAAUAUUGUAGAACGCAGUUUUGGUUGUUGGAAAAAAAGGUUUCCUGCAGUGUCAUGGAAACUCAGAACAAAUACAGCAAGAGCCCAAUGUGCUAUAGUGGCAAUGGCUGUCCUAUAUAAUAUUUGCAAGAAAUUGAGAGACCCGAUGCCAACAUGUUACGACUCUGAUAAUGAAUCAUCAGAUUCUGAUGACAAUGACCUGACCUCUGCAUAUGUUAGCCAGCAUGACGAGCAUAAUAGGAAUAUGCUAAUAAAUACUUAUUUUGAUAGAUUACAUUAAGAUAGACUAUGUUUUAAAUGAAUAAAUAAAAAAACUUCAAAAAUAAAAA